UACGUAGGGGGCAAGCGUUGUCCGGAAUUAUUGGGCGUAAAGAGCGCGUAGGCGGUCCGAUAAGUCGGCUGUGAAAGUCAGGGGCUCAACCCUUGAAAGCCGGCCGAUACUGUCGGACUAGAGUCCGGAAGAGGCAAGUGGAAUUCCUGGUGUAGCGGUGAAAUGCGCAGAUAUCAGGAGGAACACCGGUGGCGAAGGCGGGUCUCUGGGCCGGAACUGACGCUGAGGAGCGAAAGCGUGGGGAGCGAACAGG
This 253-nucleotide ribosomal RNA is filed under the name uncultured bacterium. RNAcentral's name for it is "partial 16S ribosomal RNA". It matches the Rfam family "Bacterial small subunit ribosomal RNA", at positions 524 to 776 of the family's 1533-position model. The record is from RNAcentral.